GAAUCAGAAUUAGCUUUAUUUGCCAGGUAGGCACAAACACACAAGGAAUUUGUUGUGUGUGUGUGUGUGUGUGUGUGUGUGUGUUUAAAGGUGCUCCUGGUAUAUACAUACAUGCAUACAUACAUACACAUGUGCCAUGAGAACAGGAAAAAAAAAAUCAUUUUAAAUAGUAAGACUUAAUAAAUAAUUUGUAUGAAUCUGGAACAGCAGAUUUUUUACAGAUUUGUGCAUUUUUACUCUAUAUAGAAAUGUAUAAACAAAGAAAUAUGCAUAUGUAUUUACAUAAUACUUGAGAAAGAGGCAAUAAUUAAAGUCUCAAAACAGCAAGUAAAUCCAUUUUAAAACUGAUUUAUUGCCUGGUUACUGUUGAGACCCACCUUUUAAAAAGUAACAAAAGACAUAAUAUUUUACACCCAAUAAGAGGACACUCAUUUCCCUGUUUAAGACAUUUUAAUCCAUUUUCUCAGCUCAAAACUCACCGGCGAGUGUUUGAUCAACAUCUGAUUACGAUCUGAUCUGCACUCUGCUUAUAAUAUGAGGCAGAAAUAUAUUUCUAGAUUUAUGUGAUGCUAUUUUAUUUUUUACAUUGUUCUUCAAAAAUACUAGAAAUUGCCUGAUGAACACAGACAAAUCUUACUGUAAUUGUGAAUUUAUUUGUAUUCAUGUUUCAUGUCAUUGUGCCUCUGCUUCUUUGCUGUGAUUCUGGACUUCCUCGUAUCAUAUUUUGUACAUCCGCAUGACAAAACUCCUGUUUUCUGUUUGGGAUUUCAUUUUCGUUUUUGGCUGAAAGAAUAGCAUUAGUGAGACAGGAGAGAGGAAACUUUACUGGAAAAUUAAUAGAAAAAAAGAAAGAUAAUUUUUUUUUGUUAUUGUGACUUCGACAUGAGAAUUUAUCAAUGUAUCUCUAAAUGUGCGCACCUUUGGCCUUAAAGCCCUCAUGGAGUUGAUUUGUGAUCACAUAUAAACGGAAGCAGACGAGACUGAAUAGCAUGGAUCCAGUGGGAGUGAAUUCAAUAGAGACUGCAGCUCUAGGCAGACCCUUCCAGCUGGGGAUGCUGUAUGACUGCAGGAGAGAUGCUCUUGUACCAGGAAUCAGACUUUGUAAAAAAAGAGCAGCUGCAGCAGAACAUACAGGUACUGGCCAUAUAAUUAGAAUAUCAUCAACAAGUUGAUUUAUUUCACUAAUUUCAUUCAAAUGUGAAACUUGUAUAUUAUAUUCAUUCAUUACACACAGACUGAUAUAUUUCAAAUGUUUAUUUCUUUUAAUUUUGAUAAUUAUAACUGACAACUAAGGAAAAUCCCAAAUUCAGUAUCUCAGAAAAUUUGAAUAUUGUGAAAAGACUCAAAACACAUGCAAAUGCCUUUAUGUGGUCUCUCAGUCUU
This is a long non-coding RNA of Cyprinus carpio (common carp), 1383 nucleotides long. The record is from Ensembl. Lineage: Eukaryota; Metazoa; Chordata; Actinopteri; Cypriniformes; Cyprinidae.